AUUAUAUCAGUGUAAUGUAUGCCAUAACUACUUUCAAUAUAUCAACAAAAAAGUGAAAACACCCUAUUCAACUCAGAACAAAGCAAUUAUGGAGGGCACAAGAUAUAAUCCGCCUCAUGGACGAAAGAAGAAAACGUAAUAAUAAUAUGUAACCAAGAAAGAUGUAAGCUUGGAAAACUCUUACUGAUCUACAGCGGAAAAGCCAAGCAUGAAAGAGCACAAUCGGGAAUUGACAUUCUACUGGAGGAUAUAUAUGCACCAAUCAUCGAAAAUAUAGAAUAUAUCAGCGAUUGAUUAAUAAGAACCCCAGAAUCAUACAGCGCUCGAAAACUGUACGAGAACAGAUUAAUGCAAAAAAUUAGUAAGACUGACCUCACGAACCAAAAUAUGUAAACAUGCUGGAAUGAAACAAACAACUGCAUACAUCAGGUAGCUGCAGAAUCAAUUGGCAAUAGGAAAAUCAAUAUAAGUCCAAAAAUUCUAACAAACCAUGGUUCUGUCAAGAAGUGAAUGACUUCGCAGAUGGAAAACGGAAAAGCUUUUUAACGUAAAACGAAGACCAUGACAGCCAAUGAGCAAGCUGUUAAUAGAUAAUACAUCCAUAGAGCAGGUGAUGCGAUUUAGAAAUGUCCAGCACUCACUACCCGCAAAAGGACCUGAGAAACCAAAUAAACAAACCAGCCAUUAUAUGAGAAUGUUUAAUGGAAACUGUACGGGCUAAUCGUUAAUGCGAAAUUGAUUAGAAGCGAGAGAAGAUACCAACAAGACCAAGUGAAUGCUUCGAGUCGCGCAAGUAUCAGUACCGAGAUCAAUAGCGGGGAAAACAAGAAGAAACCGCGAAAAAAACACUGAUAUUAGAUCCCAAUGUGAGGUACAGGAUGUGGUGAUAUGGGGAAGGAAAAUGAUAAGGGAAUGGCAUAACCACGAGAGGUGAUUGACUGACGAUAAACUUCCACGUCUUGUACUAGAGUGAAAACCGGUUAAGGACGCGUCCACCUGGAAGGCCACCAAAGAUAUGGAGAGAUCGGUGGCAGUCCACAUCUUAGGAAAUAGUACACAGGCAAGUCCGGAAUAAACAGAUCAUCUAAAUCUCUAAAAGUAGAAGAAUAAGAAGAAUAAUAUAAAAUACUAAACAUUUAAAUUAUCAGCGGACAUAGAAAUACAACGCAUCUUGGACAUGGUUGCAUUCUAUCGCCUCUCCUUGUCAAUAUAUGCAGCGAAGCAAUCUUUCAGAACUGAUAAACAUGAGAAGAAUAGGCAAAACUCUGGAUAUUGAAGACGAACAUAUAGACCUUGGUCAUGUCUCUAAAAUGUGAACGAAAAACCAAACAGCAGAGAUUAAGCGGAUAAUGAGACUAAUAUGGAUUGCAUUUGGAAAAUUGAGUCAUAUAGUUAAUAGCCCUGUUAGUCAAUGCAAAGGGCCAUGGAGAGGACAACGCUGGGCGUUAGCUAAUUAGAUAAAAUCCGUAACGAAGAAAUAAGGAGACGAACAUGUUGCCAGAUUGAGUGUGGGCAGAUGGGUAUUAAGGCUUGUACACUAGAUACUACGUCAAAGAAUGAGGAGUGUCGGCAGGCCACAGAGGAAAUGGUUAGAUGAUGUUAAAAGAAAUGCAGGAGGAAGAUGGUACCAUACAGCAAAAGUCAAAGCAGCAUGGAAACAAACGAACGAUUUCUUUGUUCAGCAGUGGACAGAUAGUGGCUGACAAAGAAGAUGAAGCAGAAGAGUAUAGUAUAAGGAUCCAUUACAGGAAGCAUCAUCAACAGGAGACUAAAAGAAAGAGGGUGAGUGGUCAACAUAUUAAGAACGUUAGAUCUGCCGACGAUACAACAAUAAUGCCAUGCAUUGUGGAUGACCUACAAGGUCUCAUGCAAAGAACAGACAGUUAUUGUACACAAUUUGUGUUAGAACGAAUUCAAAGAAAAUAAAAUUCAGGGUGAUCAUGAAGGGAAUGAACAUUAAUGGUACACCAAUAGAAAGAGUGGACAAAAUAAUAAAUGGAACUACUGAAAAAUUGCAGGAAUUACAUUCUAGAAUUGAAAGAAACAGAAGCUCUUAUAUGAGGAUUAAGAAAUUGUUAAGUAACAGUGUAUUAAACACAUUUUCUUCUUAUUUUUAAGUACAUAAUGUUCUCUGAAGAACUAUUUUCUUUAUUGUGUCUUGAUGCUUAGUUCAAAAUUUUUGCGGUCAUCGAUCAGUUAAUUAAUUUUAGACAUUUAUAGCUACAAAAUAGCUGUUCUUUUUACUUCAAGUUUAAUACAUUAUGCAAAGUGAUAGUGCUCUGAGUGAAAAUGUCACUUACUGUAACGUAGUGAAGUAUUUGCGUUGUAAAUGGAUUUUUAUUUAUAAUUUUCAAUGUUUUUAUUUGUAUUCUUCGGACUAACAUCAGCCAUUCAUGACAAAAUUGAAAUGUUUUAUAAAUACGUAAGAACAGCUAUUUAAGGUGUGACAUGCAACUACGUAAUCAGAAUAUAGGCGACUUCAAGGCCACAAUUGGUAAGAACCAAGAGAAGUCAGAGAACCUCGUUCGACACUGUGGUUUUGGCAAUCGAAACGCAAGAGGAAAACCACUCUUGAACUUCAUGGGCGAACAUAACUUAAGUAUGAUGAAUUCAUUCUUAAAAAAACCCAUAUCUCGAAAAUGGAGCUGGAUCAGUCUUAAUAAACCAAUAAAGAAAAUUUAUUAUAUUCUUUGCUCCAAAGCGUAAAUAAUACGGGAUGUUACGGUGCUGAACUCAUUAGACGUAGGAAGCGCCCACCGAUUGAUUCGAGCAAAAGUGGUUAUCGACAAGAAGCAACAAAAAAAAACAUUCAUCAACAUAAAAACACUCGAAUAUCGUGCAACCAAUUUCAAGAAAAUGGACAUAAAUUUUAAAGAGCGGUAGAGAGAAGACGGGUUCCCCCAAGUGAAUCAUUUACUCGAUAUUAACAGUUUGAACAGCAAAAUACAAAGAACCCUAAAUGACAGCAUUCAGGAAGUAAAUAAGAACAGACCAAUUCCAAAGGAAAAAAUUGUUAAUGAUGAUGAGCAUGAUUAUCAGGAGACUGCUGAAAAAACGAAGACAACUGAAUGAGGAAAAGAAAAAGGGCACAAUAGAGUAUGUGGAACUAAAGAAACUAAUUAAAAAACAACAAAGGGAUAAUGAAACAGAGGAGUACCGACUCAUAAACUGAACCAUAGAUAAAAACAAUGGCAUGAAAUGCCUAAGACCAAAGCUGGGGAAAACAUUUUUUUCCUUAACUGACAAUAAAGAUGUUGAAAAAAAAACGAAUUGGAGUGGAGUCUUGAAAAUCGUUGAGGAAUAUUAUUCACACCCAUACGCAUCCAAACUACAGGAUCAAAGCGAUGAUCAACCGAAGAAGGGUAAGGAACGUCUGAUCUGAAGAGUGUCCGCGAGUAACUGAGGCAGAAGUGGUUAAAGUUCUGAAGAACAUUGAGGACAAAUAGGCGCCAGGAGAGGAUGCUAUUACAACCCACAUGAUGAUCGAAGGAGGCGGCAGUCUAAUCAAACUGAUCCAACAAAGUAAAAUCCGGACUACCUUGAUGAAGGCUGAAGUUAUACUUCUUCAUAAAAAAGUAGAUAGGACUGAACUGAAAAUCUACCAUCUCAUAACUCUACUAUCGCACCUGAUUAAUUUUCUAACAUGUAUAAUUACUACACGUUCAACGCAAAAAUUGGACAAGUUUCAGUCAACGGAACAGGCAGGUUUUGGAAAGUGUUAUUCAACAAAUUCUGCGGAUCCCUUGCUUAUCAUGUCACUCUUCCUUGGGAAGUGCAUUGAAUACCACUUCCUUCUGAAUCUGGCCUUUAUAGACCAGUUCGACGCGGUUGAACAUUUGGCAGUUCAGAGAGUACUGCAAAACUUCAGAAUCGAUAGAAGAUACUCACAUCUAAUACAAGAGACUACCAGGGAAGCAACAGCAACAUACUCAAAUACGCAAGCCAAUCAGGUCCACUGAAGGGAGGAGUUAGACUGGAUAAUUCUCUAUCAUCCAAACUGUUCCCAUUGGCUAUCGAGGACGUGAUGAGAAAACUGGAUUGGUCGGAAUGCGGCACUAAUGUGAAUAGCCAAUACUUGAGCCACCUACGUUAUGCAGAUGACAUAAUCAUAAUGGCAGAAGAUCCGACAGAACUGGAGAACAUAAGUGAACAUGUUGAAUUAAAUUCCUCCAUGGCAUAAUGCAUCUAUCGGGGUCAAAAAAUUGUGUUUGGGAGAGAAAAUCAAACAGGGGAGACACAAAGAAGGAUCUAGUCCGGGACGGAAUUUGGCAAAACUGAUUUAUAUACUCAAAGUAAUAAAAAUAACCUUAAAGAACAAAA
This is a long non-coding RNA of Dendroctonus ponderosae (mountain pine beetle), 4320 nucleotides long. RefSeq lists it as uncharacterized. NCBI's taxonomy places the organism in Eukaryota, Metazoa, Arthropoda, Insecta, Coleoptera, Curculionidae. The record is from RefSeq and is a predicted model, not a curated record. The transcript is spliced from 2 exons.